RNAcentral lists this ribosomal RNA (370 nucleotides) under uncultured bacterium. Its description in RNAcentral is "partial 16S ribosomal RNA". It matches the Rfam family "Bacterial small subunit ribosomal RNA", at positions 355 to 716 of the family's 1533-position model. The record is from RNAcentral.
UGGGGAAUAUUGCACAAUGGGCGCAAGCCUGAUGCAGCCAUGCCGCGUGUGUGAAGAAGGCCUUCGGGUUGUAAAGCACUUUCAGCGAGGAGGAAGGUGGUGAGCUUAAUACGCUCAUCAAUUGACGUUACUCGCAGAAGAGGCACCGGCUAACUCCGUGCCAGCAGCCGCGGUAAUACGGAGGGUGCAAGCGUUAAUCGGAAUUACUGGGCGUAAAGCGCACGCAGGCGGUUUGUUAAGUCAGAUGUGAAAUCCCCGGGCUCAACCUGGGAACUGCAUUUGAAACUGGCAAGCUAGAGUCCCGUAGAGGGGGGUAGAAUUCCAGGUGUAGGCGGUGAAAUGCGUAGAGAUCUGGAGGAAUACCGGUGGC